CUCAGAGUCUUUACCUUGCUUCCUUGAGCUUCUGGCAAAAAUAUCUCUAAUGAGACAGGAAGGGGUAUUUUUUAUAUACACCUUUCUGUCUCAUUAGAGAUAUUUUUGCCAGAAGCUCAAGGAAGCAAGGUAAAGGCUCUGAGU
This is a non-coding RNA of Pelobates cultripes (western spadefoot toad), 144 nucleotides long. NCBI's taxonomy places the organism in Eukaryota, Metazoa, Chordata, Amphibia, Anura, Pelobatidae. The record is from the annotation of a GenBank genome assembly.